This 510-nucleotide ribosomal RNA is filed under the name uncultured bacterium. RNAcentral describes it as "bacterial SSU rRNA". It matches the Rfam family "Bacterial small subunit ribosomal RNA", at positions 17 to 518 of the family's 1533-position model. The record is from RNAcentral.
UCCUGGCUCAGGAUGAACGCUAGCGACAGGCCUAACACAUGCAAGUCGAGGGGCAUCGCGGGAGAAGCUUGCUUUCCUGGCGGCGACCGGCGCACGGGUGCGUAACAGGUGUAGCAAUCCUGUCCAUAGUCGGGGGAUAGCCCAGCGAAAGCUGAAUUAACACUCCAUGUGAAUCGAAGCCGCAUGACUUUGAUUUGAAACGCAAGGACUAUGGGUGAGCACGCUUCUGAUUAGCUAGUUGGUGGGUAACGGCUCACCAAGGCGACGAUCAGUAGGGGUUCUGAGACGGAAGGUCCCCCACAUUGGAACUGAGACACGGUCCAAACUCCUACGGGAGGCAGCAGUGAGGAAUAUUGGUCAAUGGGCGAGAGCCUGAACCAGCCAAGUCGCGUGAAGGAUGAAGGUUCUAUGGAUUGUAAACUUCUUUUGUCCGAGGGUAAAAAAGGCCACGUGUGGCUUCUUGCAAGUAUCGGACGAAUAAGCAUCGGCUAACUCCGUGCCAGCCGCCGC